This 217-nucleotide small nucleolar RNA is filed under the name Sus scrofa (pig). RNAcentral describes it as "ACEA small nucleolar RNA U3 (ENSSSCG00030049624.1)". It matches the Rfam family "Small nucleolar RNA U3". From Rfam's summary of the family: Small nucleolar RNAs (snoRNAs) are involved in the processing and modification of rRNA in the nucleolus. There are two main classes of snoRNAs: the box C/D class, and the box H/ACA class. The record is from RNAcentral. Lineage: Eukaryota; Metazoa; Chordata; Mammalia; Artiodactyla; Suidae.
AAGACUAUACUUUCAGGGAUCAUUUCUAUAGUCUGUGACUGGAGAAGUUUCUCUGAACGUGUAGAGCACCCGAAACCACGAGGAGGAGACGCAGUGUUCUUUCCUGAGCGUGAAGCUGGCAUUUGGUGUUGCCUGUGCAGCUACCACUUGCCCUUGAUGAUCGUUCUCCUCUCUCUGAUUGAGAGAGGCAGAGGGAGAGAACACCGUCUGAGUGGUU